CAGCAGUAGCCGCGGGAACACGGAGGGGGCUAGCGUUGUUCGGAAUUACUGGGCGUAAAGCGCACGUAGGCGGCUUGGUAAGUUAGAGGUGAAAGCCCGGAGCUCAACUCCGGAAUUGCCUUUAAGACUGCCGAGCUAGUAGGUGAGAGAGGUAAGUGGAAUUCCGAGUGUAGAGGUGAAAUUCGUAGAUAUUCGGAAGAACACCAGUGGCGAAGGCGGCUUACUGGCUCAUACUGGACGCUGAGGUGCGAAAGCGUGGGGAGCAAACAUGAUUAGAUACCCCCGUAGUCCCUGUCUCUUAUAC
This 304-nucleotide ribosomal RNA is filed under the name uncultured bacterium. RNAcentral's name for it is "partial 16S ribosomal RNA". It matches the Rfam family "Bacterial small subunit ribosomal RNA", at positions 506 to 807 of the family's 1533-position model. The record is from RNAcentral.